CAGCCCUUGACAUGGCAGGACGGUUUCCGGAGACGGAUUCCUUCUCGCAAGAGACUUGCACACAGGUGCUGCAUGGCUGUCGUCAGCUCGUGUCGUGAGAUGUUGGGUUAAGUCCCGCAACGAGCGCAACCCUCGCCCUUAGUUGCCAUCAUUCAGUUGGGCACUCUAAGGGGACUGCCGGUGAUAAGCCGCGAGGAAGGUGGGGAUGACGUCAAGUCCUCAUGGCCCUUACGGGCUGGGCUACACACGUGCUACAAUGGCGGUGACAGUGGGAUGCAAUGGAGCAAUCCUGCGCAAAUCUCAAAAAGCCGUCUCAGUUCGGAUUGUGCUCUGCAACUCGAGCACAUGAAGUUGGAAUCGCUAGUAAUCGCAGAUCAGCACGCUGCGGUGAAUACGUUCCCGGGCCUUGUACACACCGCCCGUCACACCAUGGGAGUUGGGUUUACCUUAAGACGGUGGCGCUAACCGCAAGGGGGCAGCCGGCCACGGUAGGCUCAGCGACUGGGGUG
RNAcentral lists this ribosomal RNA (509 nucleotides) under uncultured bacterium. RNAcentral describes it as "bacterial SSU rRNA". It matches the Rfam family "Bacterial small subunit ribosomal RNA", at positions 975 to 1482 of the family's 1533-position model. The record is from RNAcentral.